Molecule: RNA transcript, 990 nt
Organism: Raphanus sativus (radish)
Lineage: Eukaryota; Viridiplantae; Streptophyta; Magnoliopsida; Brassicales; Brassicaceae
Gene name: ubiquitin carboxyl-terminal hydrolase 19
Exons: 4
Source: RefSeq, a predicted model, not a curated record
CACGCGUCAGAAUGGGAGAUAUUCUUCCUUAUCCACAAUGUUUCUUCUACGCCUUCGACGAAGCAACCCUACCCUCUCUCUCUCUCGUGAUCUCUCCUGAUAAUCUGGGUUUUGUAAUGGAGAGAAGAAACUGGCUUGUGCUUUGUCGAAUUGGAGCCCUUCCAAUUUUAGGUUUUUACCAGAUUAGGUUUUUACCAGAUUGGAAGAGAUUGAAGCUACAAUUUCAGAGAGAGGAAAGGUAUGGAGGGAGAGAUUUGGAGACGAUCGUCGGUGGCGGGUGGGAGAAUAGAUGAUUACGGUGGUGGUGGUGACGGAGAUGCGGCGGCGAGGUUUGGAUGAGAAAGGACGAGCGGGAGGAGAAGAAAAAAGGGACGUGGUCUAAGGAGGAAGACGUUAUGCUGAGCGAGCUCGUGGAGAAGUUCGGACCGAGGAACUGGAGGUGUGAUGGAGCGGAAUAUUCCUGGUCGGUCGGGAAAGUCAUGAUCGUUGAGCAGUGAAUUAUGCUGAAGAAGAGAUCAAGAAGCUAGCAAGCUUCGUUAAUGGCGGAUAAUUCUGGUCUGAUCAUCAAGCCAGGAGACGUAAUGUGUCAAUCUUUUACUCAUCUGAUGUUGACACUCUUCUUCUUGAGUAUGCAAGUUUGAUCGAAUUUUCUGUUUGCAGUUGUUUUGCUUAUGUGGUUCUACAAUACCUUUCCUGGACACUCCCUCUUGUUGCUUACCUACUAGAGAGAGGCCACAAGAGAGAAUGUAGGCGCAACGAUUGGUGCUUUCUGUUAAUGGGAGACAGGAAGAUGCUCAUGAGUUGAUGAGCUCAGCAAUUGUUAUAUUGUUAUUUGCUGGUGAAGUUUCUGUUAAUCAAUCAGCUAUUUUUAUGGUGAUACUUGAACAAUCCGUGUGUGGAGCAGUAAUCUCAGUCUGAGAUCAAGUUUUUAUAUGUUAUAGUUAUUUAAAAAAAAAAAUUACCUAAGGACUAACCAAAGUCCCACCAAUA